AUCGCUUCUCGGCCUUUUGGCUAAGAUCAAGUGUAGUAUCUGUUCUUAUCAGUUUAAUAAUAAAAGGCUUGCAUGUGUUUCUAUCACAAAAGAUUUUUGUAUGUAAUUAAAUGAAACGGGACAUACUAGAAAACAGUUAAGCAGGCAAGAAGCCAACUCCAGGCCUGCAAUCCCA
RNAcentral lists this small nuclear RNA (175 nucleotides) under Myotis brandtii (Brandt's bat). RNAcentral's name for it is "U2 spliceosomal RNA". It matches the Rfam family "U2 spliceosomal RNA". From Rfam's summary of the family: U2 is a small nuclear RNA (snRNA) component of the spliceosome (involved in pre-mRNA splicing). Complementary binding between U2 snRNA (in an area lying towards the 5' end but 3' to hairpin I) and the branchpoint sequence (BPS) of the intron results the bulging out of an unpaired adenosine, on the BPS, which initiates a nucleophilic attack at the intronic 5' splice site, thus starting the first of two transesterification reactions that mediate splicing. Lineage: Eukaryota; Metazoa; Chordata; Mammalia; Chiroptera; Vespertilionidae. The record is from Rfam by way of RNAcentral.